RNAcentral lists this ribosomal RNA (475 nucleotides) under Staphylococcus sp. HMSC12H08. RNAcentral's name for it is "bacterial SSU rRNA". It matches the Rfam family "Bacterial small subunit ribosomal RNA", at positions 1 to 466 of the family's 1533-position model. The record is from RNAcentral. Lineage: Bacteria; Bacillati; Bacillota; Bacilli; Caryophanales; Staphylococcaceae.
UUAUGGAGAGUUUGAUCCUGGCUCAGGAUGAACGCUGGCGGCGUGCCUAAUACAUGCAAGUCGAGCGAACAGACGAGGAGCUUGCUCCUCUGACGUUAGCGGCGGACGGGUGAGUAACACGUGGGUAACCUACCUAUAAGACUGGGAUAACUCCGGGAAACCGGGGCUAAUACCGGAUAACACAUGAAACCGCAUGGUUUCAUGAUGAAAGACGGUUUUGCUGUCACUUAUAGAUGGACCCGCGGCGUAUUAGCUAGUUGGUAAGGUAACGGCUUACCAAGGCAACGAUACGUAGCCGACCUGAGAGGGUGAUCGGCCACACUGGAACUGAGACACGGUCCAGACUCCUACGGGAGGCAGCAGUAGGGAAUCUUCCGCAAUGGGCGAAAGCCUGACGGAGCAACGCCGCGUGAGUGAUGAAGGUCUUCGGAUCGUAAAACUCUGUUAUUAGGGAAGAACAAGGGUGUAAGUAACU